Molecule: long non-coding RNA, 3668 nt
Organism: Strigops habroptila (Kakapo)
Lineage: Eukaryota; Metazoa; Chordata; Aves; Psittaciformes; Psittacidae
Source: Ensembl
UUUUUUUUUUUUUUUUUGUUUUGUUCGUUUGGGUUUGGUUUUUUUUGUUGGGUUGGGGUUUUUUUUUGUUUUCAUUUGAAGUUGCACUUGUCACAUGCAGUUAGCGCGCUGGGCUGCCUGGAAGUCUCCCUUCAGACAUCUCCCAGGUUAGUGCUGCUCCUUCAAUCUGUCCACUGGAAACCAGUUUCUGAAGAAUAGGUGUGUCCUGCAGGGAAAUGGCUCUGUGGCCAUUUACUCUGAAAAUAGAGGUAGGCUGCUUCUGGAAUGGAAAACCCUGCUGUACCCCAGGUGCCAGCAGCCAGCACGCAUCCCGCUGACAGCUUUGGAAAGCACCUGUAGCUGUAGCCUCCCUCAGGGGUGUGGAGGUGUGCUGGCACAGCAGGGAGAAUCAGAGUAAUUCUGUCUUGCCAGGGAGAGUGGAAAAGAGCAGAUACAGAAUCACAGAAUCAUAGAAUAGUAAGGGUUGGAAAGGGUCUUAAGAUCAUCUAGUUCCAACCUCCCCGCCAUGGGCAGGGACACCUCGCACUAAACCAUGUCGCCCAAGGCUCUGUCCAGCCUGGCCUUGAACACUGCCAGGGAUGGAGCAUCCACAACUUCCUUGGGCAACCUGUAAGAAGUGUUUUUUGUCCUAAUAAGCCUGAUAAGCAUAUUUCUGUGAGACUCCCUCCGCUCUUUCAAAACAUAACUAUGCCAUUUUUAUAGGAUUUGAAAACUUUUUUUCUGUAACAGAAGUACGUGGUGCUUUUGAGAAUGAGAUUUUUGGUUCCAGUUUUAUACAGAUAUCUGAAAUACCUUGAUGAAAGGAGGGAAGUAAACCUCACUUGCCAGCACCCACGGUCCUGGGGAGGCUAUGCUCCUGACAGCCACGCUACCCUGCCUGCUGCCCCUCCGCAGAGUCGCUGCUUAUUGUAGCAACUGAGCUAAACAGACACAGGACACUGGGUUAAACAGAGCGAAGGCGUGGGAGGCCUUAGGAGGUGAUUCUGGUUUUUUUUUCAGCGAGCAGGAGAGUUUGGCAGUCCAGGGGUCUGGGGGCCCUUGGGCUGGAUGCCCUGAGAGAGGCCUAUCCUGUGUCAGCCACCAUGAAAACUGUGGACCUGUUGAGGAGUUGGUGCAAAGGUACAGCUCAGGUAAAAUUAGCACUUGGAUGUGGAAGUCAUUUUAUUGGUGUAGUGCCUGUUGUGCAGGGAUUUGCCUUCAUUAUGGUUUGUUUUAUUGGGGUUUUUUGUUUUCAUAUGUAUUGUGAGAGAGCACUUAGCUUGUUUCUCAGUAAAUGAAAACAAAAUCCUUUGUCUAGUUUUAAGCAGACAGAUGUGGCAGUGCAGAGCGUGAGCACACGAAAGCCUGUGCAAUGGUUUCUUGUUCUAUCUAGUACCAUACAAAAGGUCAGUAGUAGCAGCUGGUUUUGCUUUUCCUGUUGAAUCCUAGGUUUUGGAAGAUGCAAAAUGAGUUUUCCCUCAGACUACUUUUUUUUUUUUUUUUCCCUACAAGGCACAGCUCCAACUUACUGCUGCAUUACUAUUCAGACCAAAGAACCAUUCCAAUGGGAGUGUCGCGUUUUAGUGCAAACCUAAUUCAGCAAAUAAGGUUUUAUAUAGACCCCCUGCUUCACUGAGGACCCACCUGGGGGGGGUGGUGUUAAGCUGUUGCAAAGCAGAGCUAGCAGUGGUCAGGCAAGGGUGUGCGCCUAGUUAAAAUCUGUGAUGCCUUUGCACUUUGCGUGGGGCUGAGCUCACUGGCAGAGGCUCAGCGUGGCUGUCAGGCUUUCCAGGGGAGCAAAAGUGCCUGACCUGGCCAUGCUUCACUUCAUGUCCAUGAGUUUCUUUCCAACUGGGACAUGCAAGAGAUCCAGAUCUCCCCACUCCCCUCUCUCGGCAGGUGGAUGGGACUGGUAGGAACAGGAGUAUUGGCUGGCAGCCCAGGAGGGGCGUGGGGGCACUGGGCUUUUCCAUCUUGUUGUGUUCCCAACAUUCAGUUUCAGAAUUUGUCAGUUUACUUAGUAAAGCAUUCAUGCUUAACUAUAUGCAAGAAUAUUUAGGCUUGGUAGUAUCAAAAUUUGUUUACUUGGGGUUCUUGUUAAUUUCUGUGUUUUAAAACAGAAAUUCAGGAAGAGUGUGUUGUACUCAGUUCAUCUUCAGGAAGAGUGUGUUGUACUCAGAUGUGUGUAGGACUCCAAAAUACAGGCAAAAAGACACCACACUUAAAUGUUACUGUGGAAGCCAAAGCUUUAUUUAGUGAUCUAGCAUGGGUGACAUGAGCAUGCUGAGGCUUCAGCCUUUGUUGGGGUGACAAGUUAUGAUUGUUGCUUAGCUCCAAAUGCCAAGAAAUGCAGGGAAAAGUAACAAGUGGCAAGAGGAAACCUCGUGCAAGAGUAAACGCCAUUCAGCUAAGACACUCUGAGUUGUGCCUGUAAACUCUAAGGAGGAGGGUAGGUAGUGACCUGGAAUGUUGUAAUUCCACUGUGUCACGCAAGGAGCAGGAUUAAAAGCAAAACCCCUUAUUUUAACUAGAUGGUGAUUCUGCCUUGUUUUCCUCUCUGGGGCUGUUGUGCCUGUGGUAUCACUAUGGAGGAUCUGGUACGUUCCUUGUGGUCACCAGUGCUGUUUCUCAGCCAUUGCUAAGGGCUGCUGUCAGAAACAUGCCCAAGUUUCUCUUCUCAUGGGGCUGAAGGUGCAUCUGUGACAGUGUUCAUGGCUUAGACUUAUGGGGGAGAUGCCACCAAGUGGGAGGAUAAGUUGUACUGAUGUGGCAGUGACACAGUAAUACCAAAAGCAGUGGGUUUUCAUCUCCUUGGUCUCAUUACUAUCAAUCAAUCAGGUGUAUGUCACCCAAAAGGGACAAAAGAAAUGCUUACGCAGUGACAGCCACAAGUACCAUAUUGAGCCCAUUUAUUACCAGUUUCCCAGACUGCUUAUGAUUUCAAUGGGAAUGUGAGCUGCCAUCAUAGUCCACAAGAAGAUCUGCUUUUUCAUGAAUUUGCCUUUCUCUCUAGUCUAUGAACCACGUGAAAGGCCUCUAAAAACUCAUUGAAGUCAAUGUAGCCAUCUUUGUUGUAGUCUAUGCUGAGGACUAACUUGUCAAGGGAUUCAUCGGUUACAUCAAUGCCCAGGUGAGAAGUGAAGAGUUUCCAUGUGUGACGAAACUCCUCAAGGGAAAUCAGACCUAAAGGAGACAGGCAGAAGGUUGCUUUUUCCAGUGCUGUUUCUCCUCCCUGCAUUCACAAAAGCAUGCACGCACACACCUUUGCUGCAAAGAAGUUACCUGCCUACCAUAGCUUGGGUGUAUGUUUUGAUUUCAUGACUGAAGUACAUUUUCAGGUAAUGAUCUAAUGCUUUCAGCAGCAGAUUUGAGAACAUGUGAGAUAACUGGGAGUGGAAAGGAGAAAAAGCCCCCAAAAGAGCGAAGGCAGUACUGGAGAUGGGCUCUGUGAGAAUUUUUAAUCAAGCUGGGCUGUGUGCACUGUCCCUUAUAUGGUUACAGCCUGACUGCUUAAAUUAGUCUUCACUAAACUGGAAAAAUGACAUCACCUCUGGUUCCUCUAUAUUUGGAAGCCUUAAGGAGGAGACACAGUGGGGAAAAGUGACUGGUACAGGUUUUCUAGAACUGGCAUGGUGAGGUUACCUAGACCUACCUGAGUGAUCUUUGUCAAUGAUAUUAAAGAUGAUCUC